This 492-nucleotide ribosomal RNA is filed under the name uncultured bacterium. Its description in RNAcentral is "partial 16S ribosomal RNA". It matches the Rfam family "Bacterial small subunit ribosomal RNA", at positions 31 to 507 of the family's 1533-position model. The record is from RNAcentral.
AGGGAACGCUGGCGGUAGGCCUAACACAUGCAAGUCGAACGGCAGCACAGUAAGAGCUUGCUCUUACGGGUGGCGAGUGGCGGACGGGUGAGGAAUACAUCGGAAUCUACUUUUUCGUGUGGGAUAACGGAGGGAAACUUACGCUAAUACCGCAUACGACCUACGGGUGAAAGCAGGGGAUCUUCGGACCUUGCGCGAUUGAAUGAGCCGAUGUCGGGUUAGCUAGUUGGCGGGGUAGAGGCCCACCACGGCGACGAUCCGUAGCUGGUCUGAGAGGGUGGUUCGCCAGACUGGAUGUGAGACACGGCACAGACACUGGCGGGAGGACGCAGUGGGGAAUAUUGCGGGAUGGGGGAGAGCCGGAUCCAGCCCUACCGGGUGGGUGAAGAAGGCGUUCGGGUUGGAAAGCCCUGUUGUAGGGAAAGAAAAGCAGCAGGUUAAUACGGCGCUGUACUGACGGUACCCAAAGAAUAAGCACCGGCUAACUUCGUG